UCGGUAACACACAUGCAAGUCGAACGGUGAAGCAGAGCUUGCUCUGUGGAUCAGUGGCGAACGGGUGAGUAACACGUGAGCAACCUGCCCCUGACUCUGGGAUAAGCGCUGGAAACGGCGUCUAAUACUGGAUACGAGCAACGGCCGCAUGGCCAGUUGUUGGAAAGAUUUUUUGGUUGGGGAUGGGCUCGCGGCCUAUCAGCUUGUUGGUGAGGUAAUGGCUCACCAAGGCGUCGACGGGUAGCCGGCCUGAGAGGGUGACCGGCCACACUGGGACUGAGACACGGCCCAGACUCCUACGGGAGGCAGCAGUGGGGAAUAUUGCACAAUGGGCGGAAGCCUGAUGCAGCAACGCCGCGUGAGGGAUGACGGCCUUCGGGUUGUAAACCUCUUUUAGCAGGGAAGAAGCGAAAGUGACGGUACCUGCAGAAAAAGCGCCGGCUAACUACGUGCCAGCAGCCGCGGUAAUACGUAGGGCGCAAGCGUUAUCCGGAAUUAUUGGGCGUAAAGAGCUCGUAGGCGGUUUGUCGCGUCUGCUGUGAAAUCCCGAGGCUCAACCUCGGGCCUGCAGUGGGUACGGGCAGACUAGAGUGCGGUAGGGGAGAUUGGAAUUCCUGGUGUAGUCGGUGGAAUGCGCAGAUAUCAGGAGGAACACCGAUGGCGAAGGCAGAUCUCUGGGCCGUAACUGACGCUGAGGAGCGAAAGGGUGGGGAGCAAACAGGCUUAGAUACCCUGGUAGUCCACCCCGUAAACGUUGGGAACUAGUUGUGGGGUCCAUUCCACGGAUUCCGUGACGCAGCUAACGCAUUAAGUUCCCCGCCUGGGGAGUACGGCCGCAAGGCUAAAACUCAAAGGAAUUGACGGGGACCCGCACAAGCGGCGGAGCAUGCGGAUUAAUUCGAUGCAACGCGAAGAACCUUACCAAGGCUUGACAUAUACGAGAACGGGCCAGAAAUGGUCAACUCUUUGGACACUCGUAAACAGGUCGUGCAUGGUUGUCGUCAGCUCGUGUCGUGAGAUAUGCUGGGUUAAGUCCCGCAACGAGCGCAACCCUCGUUCUAUGUUGCCAGCACGUAAUGGUGGGAACUCAUGGGAUACUGCCGGGGGCUGCG
This 1112-nucleotide ribosomal RNA is filed under the name Microbacterium natoriense. RNAcentral describes it as "bacterial SSU rRNA". It matches the Rfam family "Bacterial small subunit ribosomal RNA", at positions 43 to 1163 of the family's 1533-position model. Lineage: Bacteria; Bacillati; Actinomycetota; Actinomycetes; Micrococcales; Microbacteriaceae. The record is from RNAcentral.